Molecule: long non-coding RNA, 999 nt
Organism: Felis catus (domestic cat)
Lineage: Eukaryota; Metazoa; Chordata; Mammalia; Carnivora; Felidae
Exons: 4
Source: RefSeq, a predicted model, not a curated record
AGGUUGAUAGGAAAUGAUGACAAUAUAGAGGACAUCAAACAAGGGGAAGAUAUUUUGGCUUUUUAUUUGAUACUCCAGGAAGAUCUGAUGUCAUAUCCCUAAAAGGACAAAUCAGACCAAAGUGAGGCUCCAAGACGACUGGGCUUUUUGGACAUAAUCUUAUCAACACACGAUCUGGGGAAAAAUUACUCACACCCUGAAAACCUUAGUUUUCUCAUGUGUUAAAUAGGGACAAUCAAAUACCAAUUUCUGAAGACUGUUCUAAUAAUUAAAUGAGACAUUCCUUAUAAAACACUUAGCAGAACACCUGGCAAAUUAACAUGGAGUAGCUGGUUACAGACCAAACCUUCCCUUGAGAAUGUGACAUGCUGGACAAUAUAUAAAGCCAUCAAUCUGAAGGCAAUGGGGAAUUCUGAAGCCACAAGGUCCUCAAACUUACUGUGGAUCUAAGGUCACCACCACUUCAUCCAUAGAUCCACAGACUGCCUCAGCUCUGCCCAGACUAUUCCAAGACAGGCUGCAUCCAAGCAGUGAGCUGCGUCUCUUUGUGAAGCUGUGGUCAUCUGCAAUAUUGUACUAGUUUGUAUUUGCCCUUCCUUCUUUUCUGCCCAACUUUCUUUUCCCUUUACUUUGGUGUCUCAGAGUUAUACCUCCCAUUUUUUUCUAGGGAACUUAGGCUAAGACAGAAUGAAAGUACAGAGAAGUGAGCCCAAUUUAGCUCUGUAGACAUUUGUCUAUGUGUAAGCAGAAAGCAAGAGGCUGAGAUGCUGAGCAGAGUUUCCAACAGUCUUACAGUGUUGGUAAGAAAAAAAGGGACUUAAGGACCAAGGAGGAGAGGCCCAGGCAAACACUCCAGUUCUAGCUUGUAACUCCAGAAGGGACAGACAUUACCUCAAAAAUAAUGAAGCUGGAAUUAAAUCAACUAAAUCUUUGAUGGAAUGAAAAUUAAUCUGUCUCUUAUCCAACUUCCAAACAAAAAUAAAUUCUCUCUGGAAGAUG